Molecule: unclassified non-coding RNA, 303 nt
Filed under: plant metagenome
Description: partial contains 5.8S ribosomal RNA, internal transcribed spacer 2, and large subunit ribosomal RNA
Rfam family: 5.8S ribosomal RNA (bases 1-105)
Source: RNAcentral
GAAAUGCGAUAAGUAGUGUGAAUUGCAGAAUUCAGUGAAUCAUCGAAUCUUUGAACGCACAUUGCGCCCUUUGGUAUUCCUUAGGGCAUGCCUGUUCGAGCGUCAUUUAAACCUUCAAGCCCUGCUUGGUGUUGGGUGCCUGUCCCGCCCCCGCGCGUGGACUCACCUCAAAUCCAUUGGCGGCCCCCGCAUGGCCACGAGCGCAGCAGAAACGCAAACUCGUGUGCCGGACCGGGCAGCUCCCAGAAGCUACACUCACCAUUUUGACCUCGGAUCAGGUAGGGAUACCCGCUGAACUUAAGC